AUAUUCCACGCACUGCGCCCUGACUCCGCAUACAACGCUCAUUCCUCUCUUUGGCUCGUGAAGUCGUGAUGAAACCCUUCCUUGUCUCUCCCUCUCUCGAUCUACGCCGCCAGCUCCCUUCCCUCGAUCUGCACUCGGCUCUUCCACUGCGGCACAGCAAGGGAGGAAGAUGGGAUUGGCGGGCGAGCGGCUGCGGGGCGCGGGCGGCCUGCGGCGGGCGAGGGCCUGUCGGUCGCGGCCGCGGGCGAGGGCCUGCGGGGCGGCGAAGAGGGGAUACUCCAGCGGGCUACCAGCGGCGGGAGAGGCUUAGCGCCUGCUUCUUCUCCUGAAGGAUCAUCGCCAACUCACUGCUGCUCAUAGAGACUUCCAAGGACAGUUACAACAAUUCUGGAGCAUGUAUCGUCCUCAAUCCUCCUGAUUUUGCUACCGCCAUUUCCAUAGUAUUCAAGAUGUAAAACCUCGACCUGUGUAUCAAUUAUUUUUGCUGGAAGACUACCGUGAGGAAAAUGAUGUACAAGAGGAAGUCAAGGAAAGAGGUGUUGCCCUGAAGGAUCUCAUCGAGUGUAGGCGCGAGCGUGUGCCCGAAAGGGAUGAGGCGGUGGAGGCAUGGAGGGGUGUCGUUAUUGUGUACACAAGACAUGACUUCAGGAGACGUGCAACGCACGUGCAAGCUUACUAGUAGACACUAAAACAAGCAACUCGACACACUAUGCAACCGAAAAUUCAACAAUGCAAAAACGAAGUGGUAAUAGGGAAAAGGCUCAAACUGUCUGGGACAUAGAUGAACUAAUCUAACUUUUUGUGGCUUUUUCGUGGACUA
Long non-coding RNA from Triticum aestivum (bread wheat), 820 nucleotides. RefSeq lists it as uncharacterized. The record is from RefSeq and is a predicted model, not a curated record. The transcript has 4 exons. Lineage: Eukaryota; Viridiplantae; Streptophyta; Magnoliopsida; Poales; Poaceae.